GAACGAACGCUGGCGGCAGGCUUAACACAUGCAAGUCGAGCGCCCCGCAAGGGGAGCGGCAGACGGGUGAGUAACGCGUGGGAAUCUACCCAUCUCUACGGAACAACUCCGGGAAACUGGAGCUAAUACCGUAUACGUCCUUCGGGAGAAAGAUUUAUCGGAGAUGGAUGAGCCCGCGUUGGAUUAGCUAGUUGGUGGGGUAAUGGCCUACCAAGGCGACGAUCCAUAGCUGGUCUGAGAGGAUGAUCAGCCACACUGGGACUGAGACACGGCCCAGACUCCUACGGGAGGCAGCAGUGGG
This 301-nucleotide ribosomal RNA is filed under the name Rhizobium sp. ACMP18. Its description in RNAcentral is "bacterial SSU rRNA". It matches the Rfam family "Bacterial small subunit ribosomal RNA", at positions 27 to 358 of the family's 1533-position model. The record is from RNAcentral. Lineage: Bacteria; Pseudomonadati; Pseudomonadota; Alphaproteobacteria; Hyphomicrobiales; Rhizobiaceae.